AUUGAACGCUGGCGGCAUGCCUUACACAUGCAAGUCGAACGGUAACGCGGGGCAACCUGGCGACGAGUGGCGAACGGGUGAGUAACGCAUCGGAACGUGCCCAGUAGUGGGGGAUAGCCCGGCGAAAGCCGGAUUAAUACCGCAUACGACCUACGGGUGAAAGGGGGGGAUCGCAAGACCUCUCGCUUUUGGAGCGGCCGAUGUCAGAUUAGGUAGUUGGUGGGGUAAAGGCCUACCAAGCCUGCGAUCUGUAGCUGGUCUGAGAGGACGACCAGCAACACUGGGGCUGAGACACGGCCCAGACUCCUACGGGAGGCAGCAGUGGGGAAUUUUGGACAAUGGGCGCAAGCCUGAUCCAGCCAUGCCGCGUGCGGGAAGAAGGCCUUCGGGUUGUAAACCGCUUUUGUCAGGGAAGAAAAGCCUUGGGUUAAUACCCUGGGGUGAUGACGGUACCUGAAGAAUAAGCACCGGCUAACUACGUGCCAGCCGCCGCAGUAA
RNAcentral lists this ribosomal RNA (498 nucleotides) under uncultured bacterium. RNAcentral describes it as "partial 16S ribosomal RNA". It matches the Rfam family "Bacterial small subunit ribosomal RNA", at positions 29 to 523 of the family's 1533-position model. The record is from RNAcentral.